UGAAACAUCAUGAAGUGGAGAGUAAUCAGCAACGCAGCUUUAGAGAGUCGAUGGCAGGUGGAAAUCGAUGCAGGCGUCUGAUGAAAAUGACCGCGGAAUGGAUUCGGCGAUGAGUCGGGUACGCAUUAGGCCUGCGUUAAACGGUCUCGGUGUCAACAGGCAUCGUAGAGGUUACACGGUAACGAACCAGGGUGGUACCCCGACAUUGUCGGCCCUGCU
This 219-nucleotide non-coding RNA is filed under the name Lacticaseibacillus rhamnosus. RNAcentral's name for it is "Lactobacillus rhamnosus T-box". It matches the Rfam family "T-box leader". Rfam says of the family: Uncharged tRNA acts as the effector for transcription antitermination of genes in the T-box leader family. T-boxes are found upstream of many aminoacyl-tRNA synthetase genes and some amino acid biosynthetic genes usually in Gram-positive bacteria. Lineage: Bacteria; Bacillati; Bacillota; Bacilli; Lactobacillales; Lactobacillaceae. The record is from RNAcentral.